This 519-nucleotide ribosomal RNA is filed under the name uncultured eukaryote. RNAcentral's name for it is "SSU rRNA". It matches the Rfam family "Eukaryotic small subunit ribosomal RNA", at positions 1161 to 1699 of the family's 1831-position model. The record is from RNAcentral.
AGGGCACCACCAGGAGUGGAGCCUGCGGCUUAAUUUGACUCAACACGGGAAAACUCACCCGGCCCGGACACUGGAAGGAUUGACAGAUUGAGAGCUCUUUCUUGAUUCAGUGGGUGGCGGUGCAUGGCCGUUCUUAGUUGGUGGAGUGAUUUGUCUGGUUAAUUCCGAUAACGAACGAGACUCUAGCCUACUAAAUAGAUAGUCGGCUUACAAACGUCGACUAGACUUCUUAGAGGGACAGGCGGUGAUUCAACCGCACGAAACAGAGCAAUAACAGGUCUGUGAUGCCCUUAGAUGUCCGGGGCCGCACGCGCGCUACACUGAAGUGAUCAGCGUGCUUUUUCAGCCUACUCUGUCAAGAGUGGGAAACCCAAUGAACCUUCUUCGUGAUUGGGAUAGGGGAUUGUAAUUAUUCCCCUUGAACGAGGAAUUCCCAGUAAGCGCGAGUCAUAAGCUCGCGUUGAUUACGUCCCUGCCCUUUGUACACACCGCCCGUCGCUACUACCGAUUGAAUGUUUU